Xiphophorus maculatus (southern platyfish) is the source of this 1514-nucleotide RNA transcript. It is a transcript of the gene named coatomer subunit zeta-1-like, with no coding region annotated. The record is from RefSeq and is a predicted model, not a curated record. NCBI's taxonomy places the organism in Eukaryota, Metazoa, Chordata, Actinopteri, Cyprinodontiformes, Poeciliidae. The transcript is spliced from 10 exons.
UCCAGGUCGGGAGCGCGCGCCGUGUGACAGCUCAGGGCUGUCCACGUCAACACAGAGUGAGCGCAGCGGCGGCGGCGGCGGCAGAGAUGGACUCCACGUCCCUGGAACCCUCUCUUUAUACAGUGAAAGCUGUUUUUAUUCUUGAUAAUGAUGGCAACAGACUUCUGUCCAAGUACUACGACCCCGAGCUUUACCCCACCAUGAAGGAGCAGAAGAACUUUGAGAAUAAUGUCUUCAGCAAAACACACAAAGCAGACAAUGAGAUAGCGUUCCUGGAGGGGAUGACCAUCGUGUAUAAGAGCAGUAUAGAUCUUUUUUUCUACGUGGUGGGAAGUGCUCAGGAAAAUGAGCUGAUGCUGAUGUCUGUGUUGAACUGUCUGUUUGACUCCGUCAGUCACAUCCUGAGAAAGAACGUGGAGCGGAGGUGUUUACUGGACAACAUGGAGGGAGUCUUCCUCGUCGUGGACGAGAUCAUUGAUGGGGGGGUGAUUUUGGAAAGUGAUUCCCAACAAGUCUUACAGAAGGUCAACUACAGGCUUAUGUCUGAACCAGCCUAUGGCUUCGUCCUGUUUGAUUACAUCACCGGUAACCUAGAGGCACAGACAGACAGGAGCCAGCUGCUGUAGACAGUCAGACAGACCCGGGGCUGAUGACAACCCAUUAACUGAACAAAGUGUGGCUCAGGUUUUGCAGUCAGCUAAGGAGCAGAUAAAAUGGUCCAUACUAAAAUGACCUUGGAAGAAAAAAAGACAAAAUGACUGAUCGGUAAAAAAAAAGUAAAUAUUUUCUGUCUCUAAGCUAUUUUUGUAGGUCCAUUUGGACAGGCCAUCAGCUGGCCUAUCAGGAGCCAGGAAAGCAUUUCUUCUGGUCUGUCUGUAUGAUGGCAGUUUGUUACUUUUUGUGUGAAGUGUAUUUAAUGCUUUACUUUAUUGUAUUCUGUUUACAUGUGAUGGUAGUAAUGUAGACAUGCGCAUGGUUUGUAGCAAGCCAAAUGGUGCUGUUGGUUAUAAAGGGACAACCAGGAACAGAACCACCGCCUGGCAGUUCAGCAUAAGGGUUCCAAACAGUAAAGACAAAAUAUUAAAUAGAAUUUUCAGUUACAAACUAAAGAAUAUUACAUAUGCAGUGAGGUUUUCUGUUUUGUUUGUUUUAUCCACUGUCACAUAAGCAUGUCCACUGUAAAUAGUUUUAGAGUCAGUAUAUUUGUCUUUCUAUGGAUAAUCGGAAAUACUGGGGAUUAAUAAACACAAUGGCAACACACACAUUCUGAAUUGUCCUUCAACGUUGUUUUGUUUGAACAUAUUUAAAACUAAAAUACUGAACUGUCCCAGAUGAGUUGGACUGUAGUGAACAUUGCUCCAGUAUCCUCUUUCAACAAGAGCGACUUUUCAUAAAAACACAAAACACAGUUUAUGAGCGAUUCUCUACUAUAACAUUUAAUAACUAAGUCUGCUGAUAGGUUGCUUAGGAGUCGACACGCACAGAUGCACUGAAUUAAAGAUGCAAAACUGAAA